Parelaphostrongylus tenuis is the source of this 71-nucleotide non-coding RNA. The record is from the annotation of a GenBank genome assembly. Lineage: Eukaryota; Metazoa; Nematoda; Chromadorea; Rhabditida; Metastrongylidae.
GCCUCAGUGGUAUAGUGGUAGCACUCGCCUUCGGUAUUGGUGGAACGCAGGUUCAACCCCUUUCUGAGGUC